RNAcentral lists this ribosomal RNA (425 nucleotides) under uncultured bacterium. Its description in RNAcentral is "partial 16S ribosomal RNA". It matches the Rfam family "Bacterial small subunit ribosomal RNA", at positions 354 to 796 of the family's 1533-position model. The record is from RNAcentral.
GUGGGGGAUAUUGCACAAUGGGGGAAACCCUGAUGCAGCGACGCCGCGUGAAGGAAGACGUACUUCGGUAUGUAAACUUCUAUCAGCAGGGAAGAAGAUGACGGUACCUGACUAAGAAGCCCCGGCUAACUACGUGCCAGCAGCCGCGGUAAUACGUAGGGGGCAAGCGUUAUCCGUAUUUACUGGGUGUAAAGGGAGCGUAGACGGUGAAGCAAGUCUGAUGUGAAAACCCGGGGCUCAACUCCGGGAUUGCAUUGGAAACUGUUUUACUUGAGUGCUGGAGGGGCAAGCGGAAUUCCUGGUGUAGCGGUGAAAUGCGUAGAUAUCAGGAAGAACACCGGUGGCGAAGGCGGCUUGCUUGACAGUAACUGACGUUGAGGCUCGAAAGCGUGGGGAGCAAACAGGAUUAGAAACCCGUGUAGUCC